CCAAUAGGCUUGCCUAUUGGGGUUGUAGGACACUCAAUACGGAGUUACAAAGGAAAUAAUUAGACGAAUGGUUUUGGAAAAGCCAACCAUAGAAGGUAAAGGUCCUGUAGUCGAAAGUUAUUUCUCUCCUGAGUGGAUCCUGAGUACGGCGGAACACGUGUAAUUCCGUCGGAAUCUGGGAGGACCAUCUCCCAAGGCUAAAUACUCUCUAGUGACCGAUAGUGAACCAGUACCGUGAGGGAAAGGUGAAAAGCACCCCGGAAGGGGAGUGAAAUAGAACCUGAAACCGUGUGCUUACAAAUAGUCAGAGCCCGUUAAUGGGUGAUGGCGUGCCUUUUGUAGAAUGAACCGGCGAGUUACGAUUUGAUGCAAGGUUAAGCAGUAAAUGUGGAGCCGUAGCGAAAGCGAGUCUGAAUAGGGCGAAUGAGUAUCUGGUCGUAGACCCGAAACCAAGUGAUCUACCCAUGUCCAGGUUGAAGUUCAGGUAACACUGAAUGGAGGACCGAACCGACUUACGUUGAAAAGUGAGCGGAUGAGGUGUGGGUAGCGGAGAAAUUCCAAUCGAACUUGGAGAUAGCUGGUUCUCUCCGAAAUAGCUUUAGGGCUAGCCUCAAGUGAUGAUUAUUGGAGGUAGAGCACUGUUUGGACGAGGGGCCCCUCUAGGG
RNAcentral lists this ribosomal RNA (665 nucleotides) under Gemella sp. WT2a. RNAcentral describes it as "partial 23S ribosomal RNA". It matches the Rfam family "Bacterial large subunit ribosomal RNA", at positions 274 to 935 of the family's 2925-position model. RNAcentral also lists the same sequence under 1 other name. The record is from RNAcentral. Lineage: Bacteria; Bacillati; Bacillota; Bacilli; Caryophanales; Gemellaceae.